CAUCCUUCCAGUCCAGAUCCAGCCACGUGAUAUGAGCUGUUCCGUUGGGUUUCCGUUGUCCGGUAAUAGAAAAAUUAAAUGUCAGAAAAAAAUUCUAUCUCCAUCAAAUUGUCAGAUUGAAAUUUGCUAAUAAUCUGUCUAAAUAAUAGUCUGCUGACACCGCUGUUAUCGAUGCCGUAAGUCUGCGCGAUGAGAUGCCCCCGCUGUGAUGACAGCGCUCCGUGGCUACGGAGGAUUGCAUUUCUCCACAGCCUGCAAAGUCCUCAUAUGCGAUAUGAACGACAUUUAUCCAGAGUGGACCAAGCGCGCAAAAAUAGCCUGUGUGAUCCCUGUCUCUAGUGUUUUGUGUGAUUUGACCGGCAGUUGGUCUGCUUAUAGGUCGGAAUGAAGCGGCCACCGAUUAUUGACAGGCUGGGUACUUUAUUCUACCGGACUCGUUUGAUUCUUCACUCAACACACACAUGCUACCGCUAGUUCUCCUCGCUCGUCAACUCACUCGUUGACGUCACUCACCAACGCACGCGCACACACUACCAUUCUCGCGCACACACGUACGCUACUCAUAACACUAUAAUAAUAAUAAUAAUAAUACAAAUAAUACAUUUAAUUUAGAGGCGCCUUUCAAAACACCCAAGGUCACCUUACAGAGCAUAUAGUCAUCAUUCAAAACUAUGUAAAACAGACUAGGAAUAAAAGGAAAACAGAGGUUAAACAUGAAGAAUAAUAAUUAAUAACACUCAAAGACGCCUAAAGUGAAGGGGGGACCUCACUAACCACCACCACUAUGCCUUGUUAUUACGAAUCAGACGUUCAUGUUUUUUCUCAUUGAUUUGAAAGUUGGGCUAUUAAGCAUGUUGCAUUCUAUACAGCCUGAUUAUGUCUUUAUUUAAGCUACAUAGCCUAAUAGGAAGCGAUAACAGUAUAUUUGACCGAAAAAAAAAAAAACCGCUGGUUAGUGCUACCAAACUAUUCAAAUUACAAUUAUUUAUUUGACAUUAAUAUUUUCAAAUACAUAAGCCUAAACCACAAAACUAGUUGAGGGUUUUUGCCUACCUCUAAGUAUCCUCCAACUGCAAUCUUUGGUUAUUUAUUUAUUCAUUUUGCUAUACUUUAAUAUUCUUUCUGUUCAGUGUUCCAACUUAUUUGUUAAAUGUUUCAUCAAGUUAAUUGUUAGAUAAGUGUUGUUUAAAUAAAAUGCUUUUUGAAUUUAAAAAAUUGUGGGAUGUAUUGAACCGUGGGUCAAUAAUCGUGAUGCAAACCGAAUCGUGAGUUGGUGUAUCGUUACAGCCCUAAUGUUGAGGGUAAUGGAGGUGUGGGUAUAAAGGGCCAGGUGGUAGCAUCCUAAAGUGAUAACGUUCUGUACUCUUGCCAGUAAUCCCAUUAUAAAUUUGCUGUGACGCUUGCCCAGUAGUGUACACGGUGAUACGCGUGGGAUAAAAUAUACCCGUCUUUGAGUGAGGGCUGCAGCUGCACUCUGAGCUGUUCAGUCACCACUUGUGAUGGGA
Gadus macrocephalus (Pacific cod) is the source of this 1505-nucleotide long non-coding RNA. RefSeq lists it as uncharacterized. The transcript is spliced from 2 exons. NCBI's taxonomy places the organism in Eukaryota, Metazoa, Chordata, Actinopteri, Gadiformes, Gadidae. The record is from RefSeq and is a predicted model, not a curated record.